This 1384-nucleotide non-coding RNA is filed under the name Porolithon onkodes. RNAcentral describes it as "small subunit ribosomal RNA". It matches the Rfam family "Bacterial small subunit ribosomal RNA". Lineage: Eukaryota; Rhodophyta; Florideophyceae; Corallinales; Porolithaceae. The record is from RNAcentral.
UUUUAACUAAAAUAUAUGUACAAAAAGAUUAAUAAGAGUUUGAUCCUGGCUCAGAAUGAACGCUUAUAAUUAGCUUAACACAUGCAAGUUUAUUAUUGUUGGUUUUUCUAUUAAUAAUAGCGUACGGGUGAGUAAGAUAUGAAAAUUUUUUUUAAUAAGAAAAUAAUUAAAUUGAAUUAGAUUAAAAAAAGUUUAUACAAGAUUAAAUAGUUGGUGAAUGAAAGACUACCAAGUUCAUGAUCUUUAGUUGAUUUUUGAGAAUGACCAACCACAUUGGAAUUGAAAAACGGUCCAAACUUUAAAAAAAGGCAGCAGUGGGGAAUCUUAGGCAAUGAGCGAAAGCUUGACCUAGCUAAAUUAUGUAUGUGAAGAAAAUACUUAAUCGUAAAGCAUGAAAUAAUUGUAAAAUUAUGAUAAAUUUUGUCAAAUCCUGGCUAAUUUCGUGCCAGCAGCCGCGGUAAAACGAGAAGGGUUAGCGUUAUUCGGAUUAAUUGGGCGUAAAGAAUAUGUAGAUGGAAAAUUAACUAGAGGAAAAUAAUUUUAAAACAACCUUAAAUUAUUUUCGGUAAAAUUUUUUUCUAGAGUUUGUAAAAAGAUUGUAGAACUUUAAAUGUAACGGUAAAAUGUGUUGAUAUUUAAAAGAAUUUCGAGAGCGAAGGCAAUAAUCUGUUACGGGACUGACAUUAAGAUAUUAAAGCAUGGGUAGCAAAGGGGAUUAGAGACCCCCGUAGUCCAUUGCCAUCAACGAUGAAUGCUUAUUUUUGGUUUCGAUUAGAAGUACAGCUAACGCAUUAAGCAUUCCGCCUGGGAACUACGAUCGCAAGAUUAAAACUCAAAGGAAUUGACGGGAACCUAUACAAGCAGUGGAGCAUGUGGUUUAAUUCGACAAUACGCGCAGAAUCUUACUAACUUUUGAAUAAUAAUAUUAUUACAGGUGUUGCAUGGCUGUCGUCAGUCCGUGCUGUGAAGCGUUUGAUUAAUUUCAACAAACGGACGAAACUCUUAUACAAAAAUAAUUUGUAGACCGCUAAAGAUAUUUUAGAGGAAGAAAAGAAUGAUGUCAAGUCUUUAUGACCCUUAUGAGUUAGGCUACUUUCAUGUGCUACAAUAAUUAACACAAAAUUUAGUUAGAAUGCAAAUUAAAACAAAUAAAAAAAAUAAAUGUAUUCGAAUUACUUUCUGCAACUCGAAAGUAUGAAGAUGGAAUUGCUAGUAAUCGUAAAAAAGAACGUUACGGUGAAUACGUUCUUAGGUUUUGUACACACCGCCCGUCACGCUAUGGAAGUUUAAAAUGUUCGAAAAUUUUUACUAAUUUACAAUAUGAAAACAACUAAAGUGAAGUCGUAACAAGGUAGCCGUAGGGGAACCUGUGGCUGGAAAAUUU